Bombus huntii is the source of this 1530-nucleotide long non-coding RNA. RefSeq lists it as uncharacterized. The transcript has 3 exons. The record is from RefSeq and is a predicted model, not a curated record. Lineage: Eukaryota; Metazoa; Arthropoda; Insecta; Hymenoptera; Apidae.
AAAAAAAAGAGAAGAUUGGCCCGAUAUCCGCGUGCCAAUACACCGAUCAUGCUUAGGUGGCGAACACACGACGGAGCCUCGAAUCACAAUACAAGUCCGGCGGACGUUGUACGUGCUCCCACACCAGAUAGUACACACGCUCACAGUCUCGCAAAGAAGUGGACAGCCUGGCCCUGACACUCAGAAGCACCAUCAGUUAUACAGAGACCGCCGCGCGACUGAACCAGCUCGCACACCAUCUCACCGAAACGGUGACACCAACACCAUCGUCAUCUACCACCGCGAACCGUAACACAUGGCCGUGCGAGGGGCACCGCCUGGAUGGGGACGGUUUUUUAAAUCUAGCCAUCAAGGAUCCAUCCUGGCCUGGCUGAAUGCCCGCACCGGCACACAUCGAAAGCCAUCUAACGCGGUCGCGCGCGUAUUUGUCGGCUGCCCAUUAUCCUCGUCGAAAUUCAAUUACCGGUGCGGUCGUUGAUUCUAUUUUUGCGAGCACCUGUACUCGUUCAGCCUUAGUUUCUUACCUCGGACCAAACUACACGUUCUUCUGUCUUUUAGUUUCUUUACGCUCUUUAUUCUGCCUGACAGGUUAUCAAGCAUCGAGAAUGAGCGUGGAUCUUCUUGAAUUGAAUCAGAGAUACGUACUGUACGCCAAUUGGAUUGUUUUGGUAUUCGCCACUUAUACCGCUUUUGUCCUCGUUCUUCAGGCUUCAUCGUUCACUAAGCUUUCUUCAAGUACUGUAUAUUCAUUGAUCACGUAAUUACGGACUAUUGAUACGAUAUCGGGAUAACAAGUGCGAGGUUAAUCGAGAACCGAUCAACCGCACGGUGAAUUCUCGAAAGCCCGGCAUUGUUUAUCUCGCGAUUGGUAGACGCGAUUGAAAUCUUUCUCCCGCGCCACCUUUGUUCCCGACCUCUUUUGAUGCAGGGAUGUUCAUAGACAAGCUGCAACCGUCUCUUUAAAAGCGCGAAUCAACCUCGCGUUGAGACCUCAGACGACAUGACGUUGAUGCAAUUAAGAUCCCGCUUUUCGUCUCAUACCGAAAUCCAACUCAUCAUAAAUAAAUAAAUCUCAUCUUCUUUCUUCUUUUUUAUUAUCUUUCACGAUCCCUCUUGUACUUGGUACAAUAAAUAGUACUUAUAAAUAGUUAGUACUAAUAAAUUUUUUUCUACGAUACUAACAAAUUUAGUAAUAGAAGAAACUAAGUGUUGCGAAUUAUCAGCCAUUUGGUUAUUCUAUGUAACGUAACAUUGUAAAAUUGUAAAAGAGUCUAUUCUCUUCUUACUCUAAUGUUAUCAAUUAAUAAAUUAGUAUGUAAAAGCGGGAAAUAUGUUCUGCACGAACAUGUAUAUUUUCAAUAAAGUGAUUGAUAAGCCGUGUUUUUGAAACAGAGAAUUUAUUUGAAGUUCCGUGGAAAUAUCGCUGCGAAGAAUCGAAGUAUCGAACGAUCAUCUAUACGUUACAAAUUUAUUUAACACGAGUUAAAAUUUGAUAUUAAAUUCUUUUACAGUUAUAUUUACGAAUGCUUA